Molecule: long non-coding RNA, 334 nt
Filed under: Bos taurus (domestic cattle)
Lineage: Eukaryota; Metazoa; Chordata; Mammalia; Artiodactyla; Bovidae
Description: long non-coding RNA NONBTAT008958
Source: RNAcentral
UACUAGAAACCUAAGCCAGAAGAAAUUGCCUUUAUUGCUAUCUAGUACUUAAUCCAGAGGUAACUUUCAUAGUAACACUUACAAUAAAUGCAUGACACAUUGUUUAAUAAACCACUUAUAAGCCUGUUAACCCAGAGAGAAGCCUGCAGAAGGUUAAUUUCUUAUGCAGCCUAGAGCAUUAUUUGUCACAUACAGGUUGUAACAGAUUAUGAAAUCAAUGGAUCAUAAAAGUUUUUCAAAUGACACAUACUACACAUAAUAAUUACAUAGUAUGGACAUAAAAUACAGGUCAUCAUACAUACCUAUAUUAAUGAGCAGAGUAAAUCCUAAUGAC